GAUGAACGCUGACAGAAUGCUUAACACAUGCAAGUCGAUGGGGAAGUGGUGCUUGCACCAUGGUAACCAUGGCGGACGGGUGAGUAACGCGUAAGGAACUUGCCUGCGGGACUGGGAUAACAGCAGGAAACUGCUGAUAAUACCGGAUAAGGUCAUUAAGCUGCAUAGCUUAGUGAUGAAAGGAGACGCCUGCGGAGAGCCUUGCGUCCUAUUAGCUAGUUGGAGGGGUAACGGCCCACCAAGGCGAAGAUAGGUAGCCGGCCUGAGAGGGUGGACGGCCACAAGGGGACUGAGAUACGGCCCUUACUCCUACGGGAGGCAGCAGCGGGGAAUAUUGGACAAUGGGGGCAACCCUGAUCCAGCAAUUCUGUGUGCACGAAGACGGUUUUCGGAUUGUAAAGUGCUUUCAGCAGGGAAGAAGGAAGUGACGGUACCUGCAGAAGAAGCGACGGCUAAAUACGUG
This 463-nucleotide ribosomal RNA is filed under the name uncultured bacterium. Its description in RNAcentral is "partial 16S ribosomal RNA". It matches the Rfam family "Bacterial small subunit ribosomal RNA", at positions 28 to 507 of the family's 1533-position model. The record is from RNAcentral.